This 400-nucleotide unclassified non-coding RNA is filed under the name soil metagenome. RNAcentral describes it as "partial contains 5.8S ribosomal RNA, internal transcribed spacer 2, and large subunit ribosomal RNA". The stretch from base 1 to 122 matches the Rfam family "5.8S ribosomal RNA", at positions 35 to 154 of the family's 154-position model. The record is from RNAcentral.
GAUGAAGAACGCAGCGAAAUGCGAUACUUGGUGUGAAUUGCAGAAUCCCGUGAACCAUCGAGUCUUUGAACGCAAGUUGCGCCUCAAGCCAUUAGGUUGAGGGCACGUCUGCCUGGGCGUCACAUAUCGUUGCCUGAUGCCAGUUUCCUCGUGAUGGGUGACUGUGCAGGGCGAAUGAUGGCUUCCCGUGAGCAUUGUUGCCUCAUGGUUGGUUGAAAAUUGUGUCCUUGGUAGUGAGCGCCGUGAUAGAUGGUGGUUGAGUGACGAACGAGACCCAAUCAUGUGAGACCCCUACCGAAUUUGGCCUUCAUGACCCACAUGCGUCUUUGGAACGCUCAUGACGAGACCUCAGGUCAGGCGGGGCUACCCGCUGAGUUUAAGCAUAUCAAUAAGCGGAGGA